AGCCACAAGUAGCUAGUUAUUUCAUAAAUGG
RNAcentral lists this non-coding RNA (31 nucleotides) under Rattus norvegicus (Norway rat). The record is from RNAcentral. Lineage: Eukaryota; Metazoa; Chordata; Mammalia; Rodentia; Muridae.